Molecule: transfer RNA, 70 nt
Filed under: Camelus bactrianus (Bactrian camel)
Lineage: Eukaryota; Metazoa; Chordata; Mammalia; Artiodactyla; Camelidae
Also listed under: 3 other names
Rfam family: tRNA
About the family: Transfer RNA (tRNA) molecules are approximately 80 nucleotides in length.
Source: Rfam by way of RNAcentral
GAGGGUAUAACUCAGUGGUAGAGCACAUGCUUACCAUGCAAAGGUCCUGGGUUCAACCCCAGCACCUCCA